Molecule: non-coding RNA, 2662 nt
Organism: Phasianus colchicus (ring-necked pheasant)
Lineage: Eukaryota; Metazoa; Chordata; Aves; Galliformes; Phasianidae
Source: RefSeq, a predicted model, not a curated record
ACUUAAAACACAGAAAGCUUGUAUUGUUAUGUGAUAGGGAUUGACAUCACAUGCCCAGAUUUCCUUAAUUUUAGAAAUUCAGUUCAAAAGUUUGUAUUGCUGUGUCUAAACUGGAUAGGUAAGGAGAUGUAAAAUGAAUAAUUUCGUUAUCCCUUUUAUGUUGCUUUUUCUUAUUCUACGAUAUACAGCAGUUUGUGAGAGGGAUGCCCCUAACCUAAGUUAUCAGCUGUGGACCAUGGGAACAGGCAGAGCUGAGGCCUCCCACUCUUGAGUGACUGUUGACUGUGACUAUAUUUUGUUGCUAUGUAACAGAUGGCAGCAGAGGAGCAGUCUGACACAGUGGUGUCUGACGUGGAAGUGUAGAUGAAGCAAAGGGCUCAGAAUGCCUAGUCUGUGACCAAAUGAGAAAGCCUUCUAGAGCAGUUUUGUUGGAGUGGAUGGAAUUUCCCAAAGGACAACAUGCAGAAUAUUAUAUUGUAACCUACCAGCUCACAGACGCUUUCAAUCAAAAAAAUAUAAAAAACAUUUCUGAAGUUGAGCAAAAGCCUAUCAGUACUACAGUUCUGCUGGAGGAAAAUAAGCAUUAUGACGUUACAAUAGAAUCCCUAAAAAAUGGACAAAUUCUAAGUGUAAAGUCAUUUAAGACACGUGGAAUUUCAGAAAAUGACAUCAAAAUACUUGUGACGGCCACUACUGUAUCUUUUAAUUUGAGUGCAGUGACCAAAGAAUUUGCAAUUUCAGUUUCACUGAAUGAUACUUCUCGGAUUAUACAAAAAAAUAGCGGAUUCUUUGCCUGGAAUGAUUUGACACCUGGCACCUUAUAUACAUUUGAGCUUAUAUUGGACCAAUUACAUCUUGAAUUUAUUAAUGUGUCUCAGUCAUUGGAAGUUCAAGCUGAAACAGGCACCUGCUCCAAAGGGUGGCUGGCAUUCCAAAGUAGCUGCUAUAGAAUGGGUAAGGAGAGCAAGCCAUGGAAGGUGGCACAAGAAACAUGUGAGAAUUCUUCACAGGAGGCUCAUCUUCUUAACAUAGGGAGUGAAGAAGAACGUGGUUUUAUUUUUUCUUAUCUCCAGACAGUUAGCCACGUAGUCAUGUUAUGGACAGGUCUUAAUGACUUGAAGGAGGAAGGUCGGCUCUUGUGGACAGAUGGAUCUCAUUAUUCCCUAAAGGCUAAUGUCUCACCUUUGUCAAUGCUACCAGCAAAUGAAACAGACUGCUAUGCCCUUCAGAGAGAUCCCACUGGUCCAGACUAUUUCUUCAUGGGAUUUUUCUGCUUUAUACAGCUACCAUAUAUUUGUGAAUAUGAAUGUAACUAUAUUUCUUCCAAUCUUCUGCAUUAAUUUUAAACUCCCACCCCUUCAUCUUCAAAAAUACAAAUAUGAAGAAAGUGUCCAUGAUAUUUAAUGGCUUUUUAUUUUUAUGUUUAUUUUAUUUUUAUGUUUUCAGUACCUCUGAUACCAGAAAACUCCAUAUUCACUGUUUCUGAUGUCAAGACAACUGAAGUUGCAUUUACGUGGAGUUAUAUGGAUAUCUGGCUUAAGUCAGGCUUUGCACUCAUAGUGAAGUACUAUUUUGAUCAUUUGAAACCACACAGUCUGAGCUUGCCUGUGAAUACAACUCAAGCAAAAAUUGUGCAGUUGUGUCCUGGUCUUUGCUAUAGGUUUUUAUUAGUCGCGAGGAACGCUGAAGGGGCACAGGCUGUCUUAAGUCCAAUUCUGAAGGUAGAAACAAGGCCAUUGCACUCCCAGACGUUAGAGACUACGUAUGUUUCAUCUGCAGAAAUACAUUUAAAGUGGAAGCCUCCACAGCAUUCUUCCUGUGCUCAUUUUCAUAAUUACCUUAUUAACAUUUUGGAUACUGAAACCAAUGCCUGGGAACAGUUGCCAGUUGAAAAAAACAAGACAUCAACAGUAAUAGGAAAUAUAAAACCUUAUCAUCAGUACCAGCUAUAUGUGCAGAAUGUAGCAGAGAAAGGAACUCUAAGUUGCCAUGAAAAGCCUAUAUUAAUCACAACAGGUGAUGUAUCACUUUUCUGUUUGGUUGGCUGGUUUUAUUCUUUCCUCUAGACAGUUUACAUUGAAAAUGGGAUGCAUAAAUAUAUUUUUAAAGUUAUGUGCGGGUUGAGGUUUGUUGGUAUGUGUUGAGGGAAAAUUGGGGCAAUUCUUUUUCAGUUUUUUUUCUGUUUAAUAAUUUUAAUCUUCAGAACCUUUCAAAAAAGUGAACAUACCUGUCAUGUACCAUGACAGUACCUAUCUUCUUUUUGACUUGGUAACUUAAGCUAUAAUACUGAAGCAGUGGCAUCAUAUUUGAUGUAUACUGAUUUAUGGUUUAUAUACUAAUGUAAUUUUAACAAAGUAGAAACAUUUCCGUGAUGUCUCAAAUGAUGUUGCUGAAGUCAGAUUAAAUUUUCCAAAUCAUUGAUCCUGUGACUCAAAUUGUGUCAUCUUUUGUGUCUGUAUAUUCAAUGGAACAGAAUAUGCAUGUAAAAUCAGGCACUAUUUUUAUGAGAAAAAGUAGGAGAAUCUGCCUGUAACAUGUGUCUAAAAACUGUCUACAAGCCAUUUAAUAAAUACAUAAGUAGAAGAUUUAAAAUCAUGAAAUAUCUGAAGUAAGAAUGAAGCAAACUGUUUUUGGGAAGAGUUUCUUAAGAGAUGGUAUAUUU